This 433-nucleotide ribosomal RNA is filed under the name uncultured bacterium. RNAcentral's name for it is "partial 16S ribosomal RNA". It matches the Rfam family "Bacterial small subunit ribosomal RNA", at positions 29 to 507 of the family's 1533-position model. The record is from RNAcentral.
AACGAACGCUGGCGGCAUGCCUAACACAUGCAAGUCGAACGAGACCUUCGGGUCUAGUGGCGCACGGGUGCGUAACGCGUGAGAACCUGCCCUUAGGUUCGGAAUAACUCCCCGAAAGGGGUGCUAAUACCGGAUAAUGUCUUCGGACCAAAGAUUUAUCGCCUUUGGAUGGGCCCGCGUUGGAUUAGCUAGUUGGUAGGGUAAAAGCCUACCAAGGCGACGAUCCAUAGCUGGUCUGAGAGGAUGAUCAGCCACACUGGGACUGAGACACGGCCCAGACUCCGACGGGAGGCAGCAGUGGGGAAUAUUGGACAAGGGGCGAAAGCCUGAUCCAGCAAUGCCGCGUGAGUGAUGAAGGCCUUAGGGUUGUAAAGCUCUUUUACCCGGGAUGAUAAUGACAGUACCGGGAGAAUAAGCUCCGGCUAACUCCGUG